RNAcentral lists this microRNA (23 nucleotides) under Macaca mulatta (Rhesus monkey). Its description in RNAcentral is "mml-miR-7192-5p". Lineage: Eukaryota; Metazoa; Chordata; Mammalia; Primates; Cercopithecidae. The record is from miRBase by way of RNAcentral.
UCACUCAGAAUUAAAAAACAAUA